UGCAUUCUGGUUUCUUCCAUCCUAGAUUGCCUUUUCUUUUAAAAUAAGAAACUUCCUGGAUUGCAUUGAGAAUGGGACGUGUGUGGCUUUGAAGAUGCUCUAGAAGCAGAUACAGCGCCAUACCCUUAUAAAUCAUUACGAUUCUGGAACUCAGGCUCUAACAGUCUGCACCGCGCCACAAUCGUCCUCCAAGGAUGCACGUUCAAAAUUGAAAACUGCUAAGCCCGCCAUGUCGGCAAGGUCCUUUCGGGCGGCCAUGUUCCUGCUGGUCCAGCUUGCUGGCAUCUAUUUGGAACACGCAGCAGGGGACCCGGGGGGUUGUACCGGAAACCCCAAUCAGCGUCCCAUGUCUUGCCCUCGGGGCCCUCCAAAUCUGCCGUGUAAUCGUCCACCAUGUCCGGGUUCUUAGUUGCCAUGAGCAGCGUUGCAAUGCACAUUUUCAAACGGGUUGUAUCAGCAAAGAUGACACGACAACGGUGCACCCAACUCAAGAAUCGAGUCCGGACUACUGUUGGUUUUCUACAACUACAGUAAAAACACACUCAAACUUCACUGGACAGGAGAAAAUGAGCGGUCACGUCGUACGACUACAUUAAAUGCAUUCUGGUUUCUUCCAUCCUAGAUUGCCUUUUCUUUUAAAAUAAGAAACUUCCUGGAUUGCAUUGAGAAUGAGACGUGUGUGGCUUUGAAGAUGCUGUAGAAGCAGAUACAACGCCAUACGCCCAUACCCUUAUAUA
Panicum virgatum (switchgrass) is the source of this 737-nucleotide long non-coding RNA. RefSeq lists it as uncharacterized. The record is from RefSeq and is a predicted model, not a curated record. The transcript has 3 exons. NCBI's taxonomy places the organism in Eukaryota, Viridiplantae, Streptophyta, Magnoliopsida, Poales, Poaceae.